Cervus elaphus (red deer) is the source of this 322-nucleotide long non-coding RNA. RefSeq lists it as uncharacterized. The record is from RefSeq and is a predicted model, not a curated record. NCBI's taxonomy places the organism in Eukaryota, Metazoa, Chordata, Mammalia, Artiodactyla, Cervidae. The transcript is spliced from 3 exons.
GGGAGACCGGAAGAGAAGAAAGGACACAGAGAGGAAAGAGGGUCACCGUUACCAUUUUUGAAGUCUCACCCAAGGAGGGGACCUGCUGCCGAGGACCUUUCCCCACUGGGGGUCCAGAUGUGCUGUGUCACGGGACUUCCCAGCGCUGCUCAGGUGUGGAUGUUGGCCAAAACCCACUUUGGAGAGGUUACACCCCUGGUUGGGGAACUAACGCCCCACAGGCGACUGCAGAACCCGGGAGCCCCAGUACCAAGUCCAUGCGCUCUAGGGCCCGUGCUCUGCAAGAAGAUGGAGCUGAAACUGCAGAAGCCCACACGCUGUA